This 424-nucleotide ribosomal RNA is filed under the name Verrucomicrobiota bacterium. RNAcentral describes it as "Verrucomicrobia bacterium partial 16S ribosomal RNA". It matches the Rfam family "Bacterial small subunit ribosomal RNA", at positions 355 to 776 of the family's 1533-position model. Lineage: Bacteria; Pseudomonadati; Verrucomicrobiota. The record is from RNAcentral.
UGAGGAAUAUUGGUCAAUGGGCGAGAGCCUGAACCAGCCAAGUAGCGUGCAGGAUGACGGCCCUAUGGGUUGUAAACUGCUUUUAUAUGGGAAUAAAGUGAGGGACGUGUCCCUUAUUGCAUGUACCAUAUGAAUAAGGACCGGCUAAUUCCGUGCCAGCAGCCGCGGUAAUACGGAAGGUCCAGGCGUUAUCCGGAUUUAUUGGGUUUAAAGGGAGCGUAGGCUGUUUGUUAAGCGUGUUGUGAAAUGUAAGAGCUCAACUUUUAGAUUGCAGCGCGAACUGGCAGACUUGAGUGCGCACAACGUAGGCGGAAUUCAUGGUGUAGCGAUGAAAUGCUUAGAUAUCAUGAAGAACUCCGAUUGCGAAGGCAGCUUACGGGAGCGCAACUGACGCUGAAGCUCGAAGGUGCGGGUAUCGAACAGG